GCCGGAGUGGCGGAACUGGCAGACGCAUGCGACUCAAAAUCGCACGCCCGUAAGGGUUUGAGGGUUCGAGUCCCUCCUCCGGUACCC
RNAcentral lists this transfer RNA (87 nucleotides) under uncultured Chloroflexota bacterium. RNAcentral's name for it is "uncultured Chloroflexi bacterium tRNA-Leu-CAA". It matches the Rfam family "tRNA". Rfam says of the family: Transfer RNA (tRNA) molecules are approximately 80 nucleotides in length. Their secondary structure includes four short double-helical elements and three loops (D, anti-codon, and T loops). The record is from RNAcentral. Lineage: Bacteria; Bacillati; Chloroflexota.